AAGCAGUGGUAAUGGAUGUUUCAUAACGAUGUCAAACACUGAGAAAUUAACAAUAAAAAGAAGGUGAAAGAAAAUAAAAAGGAUCCCGGCUCAUUGACGACUUUCAGAUGAUUUUGCUAACUCUUCACAUUCUUUACAAUACCAGAUCCCCUUCGGUGGUUCUACUAGACCAACGCAAGGUAAAUGGAACCAUUCUCUUUUACAAUUUUCGUUAUCACAUCCAAUCAUUUGUCCAUAGGAAACUUGUUGACAGUAACAGUAAAGUUGCUCACCUUCACGGCUGAUAUCACUUGAAUCUAAUGUGUCGUGUUUGACAAGUGGUUCCCCAUUUGUCUGUUUUAAACGAGAUUCUGAUCUCCGCACUGGUCGCCUCUCCGUAGAUUGCGGCGCAUGCUUUGUACUCGAUAAUGGAGGUGAUGAUGAUUUUCUAGGAACAGCAUUUUUUCGACGCUUUGUAGGGGUGUGAUAAGAAGAUUGCGGCGAUGAAGCGUCUUCAAAGUUGUUAUAUGAAGACGACCGUUCCUGAGAGGAAUAUUGCUGGGAAUGCUGGUUAUUUUGAUGCCGACGGGUUUCCCGUCUCCUUUCAGAAGUUUGAGGAGUCACAGUAGAAUGAUAAUUCAUUAAAGCUCGAUCGUCUGGAUAUCCCAAUCUCAAUUGUUGGGGAAUCUCCAAUUCAACAUAUUCAAACCCAGCAUCCAAACGGUCGAUACAACUCUUGAUAUUAUUCAUUGCGUCUGUGGCCAAACAAAUCUUUGAAUCAGAAUAUGGAAGUAUCUCUUUUAGUGUCUUUUGUAAUCGCUCACAUCUUUCUUCUCCUGACAAUUCGUCAUUUUUCUCGUUUUUUAGAACCACACCAAUUUCCUGUAUGACAUUUUGACGGAUAUCUAAGAUUUUGUUAACCACACGUUUUAAAAAUAUAUAUUUCACUUACCUCGUACUUGUGCAUCGAUCUCUUUCAAACUCGUGAAUUUUCCACAUACUGAUUCAGGGACUGAAACAAUGGCUGUAAAAUGUUAAUCAAUGUGUUUAUUUUCGCCUCUUACCAUCUGUGAAAUCAUUUAAAGCUGCAAAUAUUUCAAUUCCACUCGUCCCCAUGAUAUUGACACUAAGCACGUUACGUUGUGCUGAGUAGGAAAUGUAUGUCCCACCUACUUCUCUCACUUUACUACAUCCCUACGUGAAAUAGCAAAAUUGUAUGUUUAAUCUAUUGAUAGAAAGAAGUGAUUCUAUUAUAAGCGACGCGUUUUAAUGUACCAGAAUUCUAGUAUAAUUUCAGCACUGCUUUGAACUGUAAUUUUUAACGACAUUAUGUUAGUUCAGGUAAUAUGAGCCUUCUUGUUUAACCAUACAUUUCCAAAUAAUCAAUUUAUUUUAGAUAUCGGUUCUACUACUCAGUUAGUUGCACCUUCAUUAUAAUAGCAAAUUUUGGAUGUCCGAAAUAUUUUUCCUUUUCACAACCUUCAGUGAAUUCCAGAUAAUUGAGAAGUACAUAUUAAAAUUCUUACCCAAAAUAGACCGAGAUUUACUAUAUCUUAAAGCUCAAUACAUUCUUAUUUUUCCAUUCUUCUCAUUUGACUUACAUACGAUAGUGUAUAUACCAAUAUCAA
This is a non-coding RNA of Schizosaccharomyces pombe (fission yeast), 1607 nucleotides long. NCBI's taxonomy places the organism in Eukaryota, Fungi, Ascomycota, Schizosaccharomycetes, Schizosaccharomycetales, Schizosaccharomycetaceae. The record is from the annotation of a GenBank genome assembly.